CCUACGGGAGGCAGCAGUGAGGAAUAUUGGUCAAUGGACGAGAGGCUGAACCAGCCAAGUAGCGUGAAGGAUGACGGCCCUAUGGGUUGUAAACUUCUUUUAUAUGGGAAUAAAAUGUUCCACGUGUGGGAUUUUGUAUGUACCAUAUGAAUAAGGAUCGGCUAACUCCGUGCCAGCAGCCGCGGUAAUACGGAGGAUCCGAGCGUUAUCCGGAUUUAUUGGGUUUAAAGGGAGCGUAGGUGGAUUGUUAAGUCAGUUGUGAAAGUUUGCGGCUCAACCGUAAAAUUGCAGUUGAAACUGGCAGUCUUGAGUACAGUAGAGGUAGGCGGAAUUCGUGGUGUAGCGGUGAAAUGCUUAGAUAUCACGAAGAACUCCGAUUGCGAAGGCAGCUCACUGGCCUGCAACUGACACUGAGGCUCGAAAGUGUGGGUAUCAAACAGGAUUAGAUACCCCAGUAGUC
This 460-nucleotide ribosomal RNA is filed under the name uncultured bacterium. Its description in RNAcentral is "partial 16S ribosomal RNA". It matches the Rfam family "Bacterial small subunit ribosomal RNA", at positions 338 to 795 of the family's 1533-position model. The record is from RNAcentral.